AGAGUUUGAUCAUGGCUCAGAUUGAACGCUGGCGGAAUGCUUUACACAUGCAAGUCGAACGGCAGCACGGGAGCUUGCUCCUGGUGGCGAGUGGCGAACGGGUGAGUAAUGCGUCGGAACGUACCGAGUAAUGGGGGAUAACGCAGCGAAAGCUGUGCUAAUACCGCAUACGCCCUGAGGGGGAAAGUGGGGGAUCGCAAGACCUCACGUUAUUCGAGCGGCCGACGUCUGAUUAGCUAGUUGGUGGGGUAAUGGCCUACCAAGGCGACGAUCAGUAGCGGGUCUGAGAGGAUGAUCCGCCACACUGGGACUGAGACACGGCCCAGACUCCUACGGGAGGCAGCAGUGGGGAAUUUUGGACAAUGGGGGCAACCCUGAUCCAGCCAUUCCGCGUGAGUGAAGAAGGCCUUCGGGUUGUAAAGCUCUUUCAGCUGGAACGAAACGGUACAGGUUAAUACCCUGUGCUAAUGACGGUACCGGCAGAAGAAGCACCGGCUAACUACGUGCCAGCAGCCGCGGUAAUACGUAGGGUGCGAGCGUUAAUCGGAAUUACUGGGCGUAAAGCGUGCGCAGGCGGAUUGUUAAGCAAGAUGUGAAAUCCCCGGGCUUAACCUGGGAAUGGCAUUUUGAACUGGCAGUCUAGAGUGCGUCAGAGGGGGGUGGAAUUCCACGUGUAGCAGUGAAAUGCGUAGAGAUGUGGAGGAACACCAAUGGCGAAGGCAGCCCCCUGGGAUGACACUGACGCUCAUGUACGAAAGCGUGGGUAGCAAACAGGAUUAGAUACCCUGGUAGUCCACGCCCUAAACGAUGUCAACUGGUUGUUGGGGGAGUGAAAUCCCUUAGUAACGAAGCUAACGCGUGAAGUUGACCGCCUGGGGAGUACGGUCGCAAGAUUAAAACUCAAA
This 905-nucleotide ribosomal RNA is filed under the name uncultured bacterium. Its description in RNAcentral is "bacterial SSU rRNA". It matches the Rfam family "Bacterial small subunit ribosomal RNA", at positions 8 to 905 of the family's 1533-position model. The record is from RNAcentral.